AUUGAACGCUGGCGGCAUGCCUUACACAUGCAAGUCGAACGGCAGCGGGGGAGAAGCUUGCUUUUCCUGCCGGCGAGUGGCGAACGGGUGAGUAAUACAUCGGAACGUGCCCUGUAGUGGGGGAUAACUAGUCGAAAGAUUAGCUAAUACCGCAUACGACCUGAGGGUGAAAGUGGGGGACCGCAAGGCCUCAUGCUAUAGGAGCGGCCGAUGUCUGAUUAGCUAGUUGGUGGGGUAAAGGCCUACCAAGGCGACGAUCAGUAGCGGGUCUGAGAGGACGAUCAGCCACACUGGGACUGAGACACGGCCCAGACUCCCACGGGAGGCAGCAGUGGGGAAUUUUGGACAAUGGGCGAAAGCCUGAUCCAGCAAUGCCGCGUGUGUGAAGAAGGCCUUCGGGUUGUAAAGCACUUUUGUCCGGAAAGAAAUGGCUCUGGUUAAUACCUGGGGUCGAUGACGGUACCGGAAGAAUAAGGACCGGCUAACUACGUGCCAGCAGCCGCCGUAA
Molecule: ribosomal RNA, 508 nt
Filed under: uncultured bacterium
Lineage: Bacteria
Description: partial 16S ribosomal RNA
Rfam family: Bacterial small subunit ribosomal RNA
Source: RNAcentral